CGUAGGGUGCAAGCGUUGUUCGGAAUUACUGGGCGUAAAGGGCGCGUAGGCGGGCCCGUAUGUCGAUUGUGAAAGCCCUGGGCUUAACCCGGGAAUGGCAGUCGAAACUGCGGGUCUUGAGUGCUUGAGAGGAUGGCGGAAUUCCCGGUGUAGAAGUGAAAUUCGUAGAUAUCGGGAAGAACACCUGAGGCGAAGGCGGCUGUCUGGCGAUGCACUGACGCUGAGGCGCGAAAGCGUGGGGAGCAAACAGGAUUAGAUACCCUGGUAGUCCACGCCGUAAACGAUGGUUACUAGGUGUCCGGGAUGUUAACCUCCUGGGUACCGUAGCUCACGCAUUAAGUAACCCGCCUGGGGAGUACGGUCGCAAGACUA
RNAcentral lists this ribosomal RNA (372 nucleotides) under uncultured organism. Its description in RNAcentral is "bacterial SSU rRNA". It matches the Rfam family "Bacterial small subunit ribosomal RNA", at positions 526 to 896 of the family's 1533-position model. The record is from RNAcentral.